Molecule: ribosomal RNA, 1149 nt
Filed under: uncultured bacterium
Lineage: Bacteria
Description: bacterial SSU rRNA
Rfam family: Bacterial small subunit ribosomal RNA
Source: RNAcentral
GACGAACGCUGGCGGCGCGCUUAACACAUGCAAGUCGAGCGAGAACCGGUCCUUCGGGACCGGGGAAAGCGGCGAACGGGUGAGUAACACGUGGGUAAUCAACCCUCGGUACCGGGAUAGCCCGAGGAAACUCGGAUUAAUACCGGAUGGCCCAACAGCCUUUCGAGGCGGUUGGAAAAGGUAGCUUCGGCCUCCGACCGAGGACGAGCCCGCGCCCGAUUAGCUUGUUGGCGGGUAAUGGCCCACCAACCCGACGAUCCGUAGCUGGUCUGAGAGGACGAUCAGCCACACUGGGACUGAGACACGGCCCAGACUCCUACCGAGGCAGCAGUGGGGAAUCUUGCACAAUGGGCGAAAGCCUGAUGCAGCGACGCCGCGUGAGGGAAGAAGGCAAACGGGUUGUAAACCUCUUUCAGGAGGGACGAAGCUACUCGGGUUAAUAGCCCAGAGGGUGACGGUACCUUCAGAAGAAGCCCCGGCUAACUACGUGCCAGCAGCCGCGGUAAUACGUAGGCGCAAGCGUUGUCCGGAUUUAUUGGGCGUAAAGAGCGUGUAGGCGGCCAGGUAGGUCCGUUGUGAAAACUCGAGGCUCAACCCGGAAGACGCCGAUGGAAACCCCCUGGCUAGAGUCCGGAAGAGGAGAGUGGAAUUCUUGGUGGCGGCAACGGUAGCGGUGAAUGCGCAGAUAUCAGGAAGAACACCCGGGGCUAAGGCGGCUGGCCUCUAGUACGGUACUGACGCUGACGCGAAAGCGUGGGAGCGAACAGGAUUAGAUACCCUGGUAGUCCACGCCGUUUACGAUGGGUGCUAGGUGUGGGGGGUGUCGCUCGGUCCGUGCCGAAGCUAACGCAUUAAGCACCCCGCCUGGGAGUACGGCCGCAAGGCCCCUGUAAGGGAGACUCAAAGGAAUUGACGGGGGCCCGCACAAGCAGCGGAGCAUGUGGUUUAGAAAUUCGACGCGAAGAACCUUACCUGGGCUGACAUGCACGGGCAUGUCCGGAAACAGAGCCUCCCGCAACGAGCCGACUCCCAUGAGCGUGAAAGACGGGGACUCAUGGGAGACUGCCGGUGACAAUCGGAGGGUGGGGAUGACGUCAAGUAGCAUGACCCUUAUGUCUAGGGCUACACACGUGCUACAUUGGCCGGUAC